ACAAGCUAACACGCAUGACUGUCGAGAUGCUAUCGGAGUAGUUUAUUAUUCGAGCUGCAUAAAAUUAGUUCAUAAAAAAUAGCUUUGCGAGAUUUUACAGAAAACUUUUGACCUGUUUCUUUAAUCUAAAUAAACGUUUAGUAGCAUUCCGGAAAGUAUUAGCAAUGCCACCAAAACAGAAGACAAAACGAGAAGAUUGGCGUGAGUGCCUGACUUGUGGUCGCAUCGUCCAUAGAUUGGACAUUUCCAGACACCAAUAUAGCUGUAAAUCUGGACAGCCAAUCGUCCAUGGAUUUAUUAAGGAUGGAGUACUCCAUGCUACUGUCUCUCCUGAAGGAGAUGAUUAUUUUACCGGUGCAAUAGACUUGCCUAAAUGGAAAGAUGAGCUUGUGUUAGUGCACCCUGCAUCGAUGCUCCUCUGUGGGCUGUCAAUUGGUCAUCUGUGUAUACUGAAUGAUUCACAUGUCUUGCGGGCAUGGCCAAAUACCAGUCUCCACCCUGUAAGUGUGGUUUUGCCAAAAACAUCAAUAUUGCAAGAAGAAAUACACUUUGAAGCUGGGAAUCUGGUCACUGUUCAGAUUUUCAAGGAUGCUGGAAGGAUAGCUGAAGAGGUUGAAAUUGAAAUAAGGACUUUGAAUGAUAUUUUCCUGAAAGAUGAAUUUCUGCAGUAUUUAAGCCUGAAAAUGGAAGGAAAGUACAUCGUGCAAGGCAGUGUUUACACAGUGCAUUAUUUUGGACUCUCGUGCUCCUACUGCAUCAAGAAAGUACAAGUUGAACUUCCCGAGACAUACCGUCUUGAAGUGAAACUGUUACCAGCAAAGGAAAGUGUUGUGUGUCAGGAUUUGUCGGCGAUAAAUAUUUCUGGGGUCUCGGAUCCUGAAGAUAUUUUGGACGUUUCAACAUCAUCCACACCAUCAACAAACAGUAUGUUAUCACCUCAACUUCAGACGCCUGAGAAAUGUUUUGAAAGAUCUGAGUAUUUCCAAACACCAACUAUACACCGGUCAGGAAAUAAAUCAGAAUUUAAUUUCAACAGAUUUGCUAAAGUGACUGCUCAAACAAAAUUUGUGCUUUCACAUUUCAAAGGAUCCAUUUCAGAUUUGACCACUGAGAAGAAGAUAACAUUUGACUACAUUGGUGGACUGGACAAACAGAUUAAAGCCGUUUCAUACUUUUUUCAUAUUUAUCUAAAGAGAUCUGAUCUUCUGGCACAUUAUGGUCAUCGCACAUCACAAGGAAUUUUGCUCUUUGGGCCUCGUGGAACAGGAAAAACUAUGUUUGCAAAAGCGAUAGCCAAUGAAAUGUCAUUGUUUCCUGUCUACAUUUCUGGUGACACUGAUGUCCUGAGCAAAUUUUAUGGAGAGACAGAGAAAAAGCUAAAAGACAUCUUUCAGUUAGCAGCUAAAAGAUCCCCUAGCUUGAUUAUUUUUGAUGAACUGGACAGACUGUGUCCUCCUCGAGACAACACUCAUUCCGAUUUAAAAAAGCGCAUUGUGACCACUUUGAUCACCUUGCUUGAUGAACUUGCACAUAAAGAGUCCAAAGUUGUGUGUUAUGUUCUCGGUAUAACCAGUAAACCUGACAGCAUUGAUCCUGCCUUACGUAGGGCUGGCCGCCUUGAUUAUGAAAUUGAAACUAGUGUGCCUUCUGCCGCAGAGAGACUGCAGAUAUUAAAAGCACACCUGCACGAUGUUCCACACAACAUAUCAGAAGCUGAUCUAAAGGCCGUUUCAGAUGCAGCACAUGGUUUUGUAGGUGCCGACUUGACAGCUCUCUUAAAGAAGGCAAAACUAUGUGCUAUGAAACGUUUAAAGCAAAAGGAAGGAACGAUCCAUGUUUUAACAUAUGAAGAUCUGCUGGUAGCUAUAAAGCAGAUUUCCCCCAGUGCCAUGAGAGAGGUGCAGCUUGAAGUUCCAGAGGUGAAAUGGAAAGAUAUUGGAGGACAAGCAGAAAUUAAAUUAAAACUGCAGCAGGCAGUACAAUGGCCUUUGCAACAUCCUGAAUCAUUUACACGGCUUGGAAUCUCACCACCCCGUGGUGUGCUUCUGUAUGGACCUCCAGGAUGUUCUAAAACAAUGAUAGCUAAGGCAUUGGCCACUGAGAGUGGACUGAAUUUUCUGGCUGUCAAGGGUCCAGAACUCUUUACCAAAUGGGUUGGAGAAUCAGAAAGAGCUGUGCGAGAGGUUUUCCGCAAAGCUAGAGCUGCAGCCCCAUCCAUCAUAUUUUUUGAUGAGAUCGAUGCAUUAGCUGUUGAGAGAGGAAGGUGGUGCCAGCAAUGUUGCUGACCGGGUGCUGACACAAUUACUGACAGAAAUUGAUGGCAUUGAAAGACUGCAAGGUGUCACCAUUGUAGCAGCUACCAAUCGUCCUGACAUGCUUGACAAGGCUCUUUUGAGGCCAGGACGCAUCGACAGAAUUCUGUAUGUGCCAUUGCCAGAUCUUUCCACGAGAAGAGAAAUCUUGCAGAUUUCAGUAAGGGAGAUGCCAUUAGCAGAAGAUGUGGUGCUGGAUGAUUUAGCAAAACAA
This 2526-nucleotide unclassified non-coding RNA is filed under the name Pomacea canaliculata. RNAcentral describes it as "spermatogenesis-associated protein 5-like, transcript variant X1". The record is from RNAcentral. Lineage: Eukaryota; Metazoa; Mollusca; Gastropoda; Architaenioglossa; Ampullariidae.